RNAcentral lists this ribosomal RNA (378 nucleotides) under uncultured bacterium. RNAcentral describes it as "bacterial SSU rRNA". It matches the Rfam family "Bacterial small subunit ribosomal RNA", at positions 30 to 396 of the family's 1533-position model. The record is from RNAcentral.
AUUGAACGCUGGCGGCAUGCUUUACACAUGCAAGUCGAACGGUAACAGGGAGCUUGCUCCGCUGACGAGUGGCGAACGGGUGAGUAAUGCAUCGGAACAUGCCCAGUCAUGGGGGAUAACUACGCGAAAGCGUAGCUAAUACCGCAUACGCCCUGAGGGGGAAAGGUAGGGGGAGUCUUAGGACCUCACGUGAUUGGAGUGGCCGAUGUCAGAUUAGCUAGUUGGUGAGGUAAAGGCUCACCAAGGCGACGAUCUGUAGCGGGUCGUGAGAGGAUGAUCCGCCACACUGGGACUGAGACACGGCCCAGACUCCUACGGGAGGCAGCAGUGGGGAAGUUUUGGUACGAAUAGGCGGCAAGACCUCGAUCCACGCCACUG